RNAcentral lists this ribosomal RNA (253 nucleotides) under uncultured bacterium. RNAcentral's name for it is "partial 16S ribosomal RNA". It matches the Rfam family "Bacterial small subunit ribosomal RNA", at positions 524 to 776 of the family's 1533-position model. The record is from RNAcentral.
GACAGAGGUGCCAAGCGUUAGGCGGAAUUACUGGGCGUAAAGCGUGCGCAGGCGGUCUGUCGCGUCGGAUGUGAAAGCCCGGGGCUUAACCCCGGGUCUGCAUUCGAUACGGGCAGACUAGAGUGUGGUAGGGGAGAUCGGAAUUCCUGGUGUAGCGGUGAAAUGCGCAGAUAUCAGGAGGAACACCGGUGGCGAAGGCGGAUCUCUGGGCCAUUACUGACGCUGAGGAGCGAAAGCGUGGGGAGCGAACAGG